UUUUUUUUUUUUUUUUUUUUUUUUUUUUUUUUUUUUUUUCGGA
This 43-nucleotide non-coding RNA is filed under the name Alexandrium minutum. The record is from RNAcentral. Lineage: Eukaryota; Dinophyceae; Gonyaulacales; Pyrocystaceae.